CCCCUAGUAACUGCGAGUGAAGCGGGAAAAGCUCAAAUUUAAAAUCUGGCGGUUUCACCGUCCGAGUUGUAAUUUAGAGAAGUGUUAUCCGCGCUGGACCGUGUACAAGUCUCCUGGAAUGGAGCGUCAUAGAGGGUGAGAAUCCCGUCUUUGACACGGACUACCAGGGCAUUGUGAUACGCUCUCAAAGAGUCGAGUUGUUUGGGAUUGCAGCUCAAAAUGGGUGGUAAAUUCCAUCUAAAGCUAAAUAUUGGGGAGAGACCGAUAGCGAACAAGUACCGUGAGGGAAAGAUGAAAAGAACUUUGGAAAGAGAGUUAAACAGUACGUGAAAUUGCUGAAAGGGAAACGCUUGAAGUCAGUCGCGUUGUUCGGGAUUCAGCUUUAGCUUCUGCUAGGUGGAUUUCCUGUUCGACGGGUCAGCAUCAGUUUUGGCCAGUGGAUAAAGGUUCAGAGAAUGUGGCAUCCUCGGAUGUGUUAUAGCUCUGGGUCGCAUACAUUGGCUGGGACUGAGGAACUCAGCACGCCGCAAGGCCAGGUUCGACC
This 544-nucleotide ribosomal RNA is filed under the name Mycena pura. RNAcentral's name for it is "eukaryotic LSU rRNA". It matches the Rfam family "Eukaryotic large subunit ribosomal RNA", at positions 77 to 621 of the family's 3401-position model. The record is from RNAcentral. Lineage: Eukaryota; Fungi; Basidiomycota; Agaricomycetes; Agaricales; Mycenaceae.